This 1372-nucleotide ribosomal RNA is filed under the name uncultured bacterium. RNAcentral's name for it is "bacterial SSU rRNA". It matches the Rfam family "Bacterial small subunit ribosomal RNA", at positions 28 to 1381 of the family's 1533-position model. The record is from RNAcentral.
GAUAAACGCUGGCGGCGUGCCUAAUACAUGCAAGUCGAGCGAACGGACGAGAAGCUUGCUUCUCUGAUGUUAGCGGCGGACGGGUGAGUAACACGUGGAUAACCUACCUAUAAGACUGGGAUAACUUCGGGAAACCGGAGCUAAUACCGGAUAAUAUUUUGAACCGCAUGGUUCAAAAGUGAAAGACGGUCUUGCUGUCACUUAUAGAUGGAUCCGCGCUGCAUUAGCUAGUUGGUAAGGUAACGGCUUACCAAGGCAACGAUGCAUAGCCGACCUGAGAGGGUGAUCGGCCACACUGGAACUGAGACACGGUCCAGACUCCUACGGGAGGCAGCAGUAGGGAAUCUUCCGCAAUGGGCGAAAGCCUGACGGAGCAACGCCGCGUGGGUGAUGAAGGUCUUCGGAUCGUAAAACUCUGUUAUUAGGGAAGAACAUAUGUGUAAGUAACUGUGCACAUCUUGACGGUACCUAAUCAGAAAGCCACGGCUAACUACGUGCCAGCAGCCGCGGUAAUACGUAGGUGGCAAGCGUUAUCCGGAAUUAUUGGGCGUAAAGCGCGCGUAGGCGGUUUUUUAAGUCUGAUGUGAAAGCCCACGGCUCAACCGUGGAGGGUCAUUGGAAACUGGAAAACUUGAGUGCAGAAGAGGAAAGUGGAAUUCCAUGUGUAGCGGUGAAAUGCGCAGAGAUAUGGAGGAACACCAGUGGCGAAGGCGACUUUCUGGUCUGUAACUGACGCUGAUGUGCGAAAGCGUGGGGAUCAAACAGGAUUAGAUACCCUGGUAGUCCACGCCGUAAACGAUGAGUGCUAAGUGUUAGGGGGUUUCCGCCCCUUAGUGCUGCAGCUAACGCAUUAAGCACUCCGCCUGGGGAGUACGACCGCAAGGUUGAAACUCAAAGGAAUUGACGGGGACCCGCACAAGCGGUGGAGCAUGUGGUUUAAUUCGAAGCAACGCGAAGAACCUUACCAAAUCUUGACAUCCUUUGACAACUCUAGAGAUAGAGCCUUCCCCUUCGGGGGACAAAGUGACAGGUGGUGCAUGGUUGUCGUCAGCUCGUGUCGUGAGAUGUUGGGUUAAGUCCCGCAACGAGCGCAACCCUUAAGCUUAGUUGCCAUCAUUAAGUUGGGCACUCUAAGUUGACUGCCGGUGACAAACCGGAGGAAGGUGGGGAUGACGUCAAAUCAUCAUGCCCCUUAUGAUUUGGGCUACACACGUGCUACAAUGGACAAUACAAAGGGCAGCGAAACCGCGAGGUCAAGCAAAUCCCAUAAAGUUGUUCUCAGUUCGGAUUGUAGUCUGCAACUCGACUACAUGAAGCUGGAAUCGCUAGUAAUCGUAGAUCAGCAUGCUACGGUGAAUACGUUCCCGGGUCU